CACGUAGGGUGCGAGCGUUGUCCGGAAUUAUUGGGCGUAAAGAGCUCGUAGGCGGUGUGUCGCGUCGGCCGUGAAAACCUGCAGCUUAACUGUGGGCUUGCGGUCGAUACGGGCAUCACUGGAGUUCGGCAGGGGAGACUGGAAUUCCUGGUGUAGCAGUGAAAUGCGUAGAGAUCAGGAGGAAUACCGAUGGCGGAAGGCAGGUCUCUGGGCUGAUACUGACGCUCAUGCACGAAGCGUGAGGAGCAACAG
Molecule: ribosomal RNA, 252 nt
Filed under: uncultured bacterium
Lineage: Bacteria
Description: partial 16S ribosomal RNA
Rfam family: Bacterial small subunit ribosomal RNA
Source: RNAcentral